Molecule: long non-coding RNA, 202 nt
Filed under: Physcomitrium patens
Lineage: Eukaryota; Viridiplantae; Streptophyta; Bryopsida; Funariales; Funariaceae
Description: long non-coding RNA (PPAT_LNC003956)
Source: RNAcentral
GGUGAAUCGAGAUUUUUAAUGAAGUGGGUUUGAUUACUCUUGACUGUUUUGUGAAAUCGAGUUACGUCUGUGAUGAAGAGUUAAAAGGGUGUCUAUAGGAUUGAGUAUGCAGAGUGAAUGAAAUUUAUUGGAUUAAUCUAACAAGACAGUUAGUGGAUACAAGAUUGUGAGUAUAAAGCGGUAUCGAAGAUUAGAAGUUUGG